This 279-nucleotide ribosomal RNA is filed under the name Triticum aestivum (bread wheat). Its description in RNAcentral is "partial small subunit ribosomal RNA". Lineage: Eukaryota; Viridiplantae; Streptophyta; Magnoliopsida; Poales; Poaceae. The record is from RNAcentral.
AUGCUUCAAGCGGCGGCUGCCGGCAAUUGUUCUCAAACUCGAUUUCCACAAGGCCUUGAUUCAGUAUCUUGGAUAGCCCUUGCCAAGAUCCUACGUGCCAAAGGGUUCCCGCCAAUUUGGUGUCGCUGGGUUCAAAGUUUGAACACAUCUGCCAGCUCUGCUGUUUUAUUAAAUGGUAAGCUUGGACCUUGGUUUCAGUGCCACCAAGGACUGAGGCAAGGAGACUCCCUCUCACCCUAUCUCUUCAUCAUUGUGGCUGAUGUCCUUAAACGACUUAUU